GGGAGUAUAGCUCAGUGGUAGAGCAUUCGACUGCAGAUCGACAGGUCCCCGGUUCGAAUCCGGGUGGUCCCU
RNAcentral lists this transfer RNA (72 nucleotides) under Stegodyphus mimosarum. Its description in RNAcentral is "tRNA-Cys for anticodon GCA". It matches the Rfam family "tRNA". Rfam says of the family: Transfer RNA (tRNA) molecules are approximately 80 nucleotides in length. Their secondary structure includes four short double-helical elements and three loops (D, anti-codon, and T loops). Further hydrogen bonds mediate the characteristic L-shaped molecular structure. tRNAs have two regions of fundamental functional importance: the anti-codon, which is responsible for specific mRNA codon recognition, and the 3' end, to which the tRNAs corresponding amino acid is attached (by aminoacyl-tRNA synthetases). tRNAs cope with the degeneracy of the genetic code in two manners: having more than one tRNA (with a specific anti-codon) for a particular amino acid; and 'wobble' base-pairing, i.e. permitting non-standard base-pairing at the 3rd anti-codon position. The record is from Rfam by way of RNAcentral. Lineage: Eukaryota; Metazoa; Arthropoda; Arachnida; Araneae; Eresidae.